GGGUUGUGAGGUUAAGCGACUAAGCGUACACGGUGGAUGCCCUGGCAGUCAGAGGCGAUGAAGGACGUGCUAAUCUGCGAUAAGCGCCGGUAAGGUGAUAUGAACCGUUAUAACCGGCGAUUUCCGAAUGGGGAAACCCAGUGUGACUCGUCACACUAUCAUUAACUGAAU
This 171-nucleotide ribosomal RNA is filed under the name Salmonella enterica. RNAcentral's name for it is "partial 23S ribosomal RNA". It matches the Rfam family "Bacterial large subunit ribosomal RNA", at positions 1 to 163 of the family's 2925-position model. The record is from RNAcentral. RNAcentral also lists the same sequence under 1 other name. Lineage: Bacteria; Pseudomonadati; Pseudomonadota; Gammaproteobacteria; Enterobacterales; Enterobacteriaceae.